Long non-coding RNA from Stegostoma tigrinum, 2734 nucleotides. RefSeq lists it as uncharacterized. The record is from RefSeq and is a predicted model, not a curated record. The transcript is spliced from 3 exons. Lineage: Eukaryota; Metazoa; Chordata; Chondrichthyes; Orectolobiformes; Stegostomatidae.
GAUCGCCAUAUUUAUAGGUGGCAACCUGCAGUGGAACGCAAGCGCAGCCUUUCUUGCUUGGGAGGGGAGAUUAAGACAAGAGAAAUGUUUGUUUUUGUUUUUGUUUUUCUGGACUUCUUUCCCAGACUGUGAGACACGGCGUGUAUUUCCUGGGAAGGACCUUUGACGCUGGCGGAGUACUGGCUUCAGGCAGUAUAAAUUGCUGCAAGUUAUCCGUUAGAUAUUUAAUGGAGGAGAAAUGCCGAAAACGUGUUCAGAACUGCAUGUUCAAAAACAAAGUUGCUGGAAAAGCUCAGAUAUUUAUUGAGAAUAAUUUGCAAACCAGGAUCCCAAUGCAAGUUCUCCAUUAAGCGGAGUGAUCAGGAUCUGAGUAUCAUUGACACUUAACAGUGAAAGGAAAGAGGUUUAACCAUUCUAUGCAUGGGAGAAUACUCCUGGACCUUUUGUGAUCUAAUCCCGUAACAGUGUGAGCUGCUACAAUGCACGUGCUAGUAAAAGCAUAAGAGGACAGAUGAGAUGAGUGCAUGGCUGGAGCUAUAACUUAAAAGGUUUGGAUUCCUGAGGCAUUGAGACUGUUUGUUUGUUUCUGGGGAAGGUGGGACAUGCACAAGCUUGAACAAUUGUCCUGGGCAGAGCUGGGACAGAUAUUCUUGUUGAUGCUUUUGCUAGUUCCACUGGUGAGGAUUUAAACUCGUAUGACAGGGGAAUGGGAACCCAAGUAUAGCUUUAGCAGUAAAAGACUCAAAUCAGCAAAUGGGAUUUGAAAUUAGUUCAUGAUGUUGUCGGUGGCUGAAAGAUUAAAAGAAAGAAGGAUUAAUCAAGAUCAAAUCUCUUUUCAUACAUCAGUCCUGUGAUCCCAGGAAUUGGCCUGGUGAACCUUCUUUCCGAUCAUUCAGUAGCCAGGCCAUCCUUCCUCUGGAAAGGAGAACAAAGGUGCACACGACUCCAGGUGUGGUCUCACCAAGGCCCUUAUAGAAAGAUAUCCCUCUUCCUGUACUCGAAUCCUCUCACAAUGAAGGCCGAAAUAUCAUUUGCAUUCUUCACUACUUGCUGCUGCCUGUUUCCGAAAAGAGAAUAGGAGAGAAACACGGAACUAAAUGGGGUCAGACACUCGGGUAACAUUGUGUUCAACAAUGUCCCCAUUGUAUCGGUGCUGGCCACCAAGCACCUAUUGAAGCUAGGCCCGUUUUCUGGCACUCGGUGUGUAACCUGUAUUUUGGUGCAGUGGAUGAUCAUCUCAACACUUCUUCAAGAUUGCAAUGGUUCCUGCAUCUAUCACCAUUUCAGAUGCUGCCAGAUCUGCUGAGUAUCUCUAUCAUUUUCUGUUUUUAUUUCAGAUUUCAGGUAUUUUUCUGCAUCUUAGUCCUUCAGAAGGAUCAGAGGGUAUGGAGAGAAAACAGGAAUUGGAUUCAUUUUCAGAUGAAUAAAAUGCCUGCCCUUCAUGUCUGUCCAAACUCUAUCUCUUUUUGUAGUUUUGGGCAAACGCUGACUGUUUCCCUUCCCUGAAGGACAUUUAAUGAACCAGUUCAGUUUUACUGAUAAUCCAGCAGUGCCCCUCAGUGUUGCAUCCACAAUUGAUCAGAUUAAUUUCUGAGUUUGACAAUCUUUGUGUGUGUUCUUCUGGUUUCUCUCUCUCUCUCUACUUUUUUUUUCUUCAGUUUGAAAUUGUGAUUGCAUUCAGAGAAAUCAAACAAAACCACAUCCAGAUCUGACACUCAAUCUGUUUGUCGUAACCUAAUUAUCUCAGGAUUUUGAACAUUAAAGGAAGAAGCACUGUUCACACCAGGGAGAAAUGCGUAUUGUCUGUGUGUCGAAGAUUCUGUGAAGAUUCAUCUGAAAUGCCCAAACACCAGCACGGUCACACUGGGGAGAGACUGUGGAAAUGUGGGGAUUGUGGGAAGGGAUUUAUUUACCCAUCCCAGCUGGAAAUGCACCAACGCAGUCACACUGGGGAGAAACUGUUCAUUUGCUCUGAUUGUGGGCUGGGAUUCACUCAGUCAAGCAACCUGCUGAAACACCAACGAGUUCACAGUGGGGAGAGACUGUUCACAUGUUCCGAGUAUGGGAAGGGAUUUGCUCACUCAACCAACCUGCUGAGACACCAGCGAGUUCACUCUGGGGACAGACCAUUCACUUGUUCUAUGUGUGGAAAGGGAUUCACUCAAUCAUCCCAACUGUUAACACACCAGCAAGUUCACCACAACCACAUUUGAAGGAUUUUGCCCUUAAAUCAAGGAAUGAACUUUGAUCUUUGGGCUGUUUGUACUGGUGUCAUUAGUCCCUGCUCAAAACUUGAUCUUCUCUUGGGAAAUAAGGUAGGGCAGGUGACUGAGGGGUCAGCAGGGGGGACAAUAUUUUGGGGCCUAUGAUUAUAUCUCUAUUAGUUUUAAAAUAAUUAUGGAAAAGGAUAGACUUUGGUCGAAGAGUCAAAGUUUUAAAUGAGGCCAAUUUUGACACUACUAUGCUUCUUAAAAGCACAGUAAGACCGCCUAUGUGUGGGAAUGCACGAGAUGGGUGAGAUACAAAAAAGUAUUUUACAUCAGUAUUUACUGUGAUAAAGGAUACAAAAGCUAAAGAACUUCGAGAAAUGAAUGUGUAUCUUGAAAAGCUCCAUGUUGUAGAGGAGGUGGUGCUGGAUGCCAUACAGAGCAUAAAGGUGGAUAAAUCCCCAGGACCUCUUCAGGUGUAUUCUCGAACUUUGCGGGAAGCUAAGCUUGCGAUUGGGCCCCUUGCU